CACAUGUGCUAGGUGAGCGCUCUACCACUGAGCCACAACCUCAACCCUAAUAACGUGCAUUUUCUGAGUUCACUUACUAUGUACAAGGUAUUUCAGAGGAACCAAAGACAAGGCAGGAUAUUUCUUACCUUGAGUAGCUGAUCAUCUGGUGGCGGGGACAGACAUGCCAAUAACCCCAACUAAUCACACUAUAGAGGAAAAAUGGUGCUGGACUAGAGGUAGGAAUUAAAUGUUUGAGAAGAACCAGAGAGGAAGGAGUUAACUGAUCAGGGGCCUGGGCUGGGGGGACUUCUUAAUGACAUUUAAGCUAGGCCUUGAGGGAUGACAGAGGAAGAGGGGACACAGGGAAAGGCCAUUUCAGAGCAAGGAAGCAGUAGAGUCCUGAAAUUGGAUGGUCAUUUUAGGGAAGGGGGUGGCAGGGAAAUGGCAGGAUGUUGCAGAAGAGAGACUAGAGAGGAGGCUUGAGAUCAGAUCCUGAGGGCCCCAAAGGCUGUGCAAAGAAUGCAGGCUUGAUUCUGAUGGCUUUUGAUGAGGGAGGGGGAAGCCUGAUCGAACUGGUGCUUUAGAAGAUGAAUUGAUUGUAGAAUCAAGAGAUGGGAGGCCAAGGGAGCAGUUAAGAGGCUAGUGUAGUAUUCCUGGGGAGAGAUGAUGAGAACUUUCACCAGGGUACUGGCAAGAGGGGUAGAAGAGAGGAGAGAGAUGGUAUUAUCCAGGCUUGACUCCUGAUUGGAUCUGGGCGGUAGAAAGAGGGAGUUGAAGAAAUUUCCAGGCUUGGGAACAGUGCUAUUAACUAAGAUAGGAAAUGUGAUGCACACUGGGCAUGGGGGGUGGGGGGCAAGUUUAUGGGAACAGUCUGUUUAUGUUUAUGUUUAUGUUUAUGGGAAUAGUCUGGUCUGAGACCUAUUGUGUUAGAGGCUCGGUGGACAUCCAAUUAACGGUGAGCUUGGCAGCUGGGAAUUCUGCUUUGGGCUUAAGGAGAGAGGUCAGGACUAGAGAUAGAGAUGUGGGAGUCAUCAGCACACCCAAGAG
This 1029-nucleotide long non-coding RNA is filed under the name Marmota monax (woodchuck). The record is from RNAcentral. Lineage: Eukaryota; Metazoa; Chordata; Mammalia; Rodentia; Sciuridae.